UACAUUAUGGUGUAUAGGCAUAAAAGAUUUUGAUUCUUUAGGAAUAUUUAGAUUAUUUAAUGUAA
RNAcentral lists this transfer RNA (65 nucleotides) under Amphigerontia montivaga. RNAcentral's name for it is "tRNA-Gln". The record is from RNAcentral. Lineage: Eukaryota; Metazoa; Arthropoda; Insecta; Psocodea; Psocidae.